CUGUCUGUCUGUCUACACACACACACACACACACAUCAUGCAUGCAGGAACGGAUUGCUCUGGAAAUUUGGCAAGAUCCUUUCAGUUUUGAACAUCUUGUCGUUGCUCAGGAGGCACAACGGCUUGGGCAAGUGACUCACGGGUUAGUUUCCAAAAGGCUGUGUCUCCUAUCAUGAUUGCUGUCUAGCACAGAAAGAAAUGGCGGGGGGAGCAGGGGAAAGGGAAAUGGCACUGCAUAAUCCAGCCAAUGUUCCAAAGAGCUGAAAGCGUUCCGGCAAAUAUGAGCAUUUUAAAGGAUGAGCCAUUAGGAGCAUUUUUCUGAGAUCUUUAUGGGAAUUAAAGGGACUAAUUGGAGAUACACACACACACACACACACACACACACACACACACACACCCUGCAAUCGUAAUCCAGCGCCAUGGGGAAUUCUCUUCUAAGCUUGAUCUCCAGCCAGCUCACUGAUAAAAAAAGGUGGAUGAGAAAUGCUGGGGGCCAUGUCCAAAUUUCUGCGGGCCCUCAGCACAUGAGUCUCCAUUGGCCCCAUCCUACCUGGGUGGGUCCCAAGAGUGCCACCAUAGGAACAUAGGAAGUGGCCUUAUUCUGAGUUGGACUCUUGGUCCAUCUAGCUCCGUGUUGUCUACGUUGACUGGCUGCAGCUCUCCAAGCUUUCAGGCCCUCCCCAGGGAUGCUACGGACUGAACCUUCUGCAUGCAAACUGGUGCUCUACCACUGAGCUACAGACUCAUCCUCAACAAAGGAAUCCUUCCCAGCCCUACCUGCCUGGGCCGCGAGCUGGUUCGAGCCACAAUGGGGGGGGGGAGUUUAAGGCCCCCCCAGUAAGUGUAAAGUGGCUAAAAAUCUUUUGAUGGGAUUUGUAUUGGUGUGCAAAACCAAACCAAACCAAAACAAAACAGGUGCCACCCAGGGGCGUAACUACCAUUAGGCAAGGAAAGGCAGUCGUCUUGGGGCCCCACUGCCUCAAGGCCCCCCCCAACGAGGCACGUCACAUGACUUCCCACCCGCCCAUGUUGCACCCCCUAUGAAUUAUGUUGAGUCUCUUGGAGAUUGGCAGGAGCAGAGAGUAAAGAAACUAGAUUCAAUGUGAACUAGAUAUUCACCAUAUUCAUAAUGGGGAUGUGAGUGUGAGUGCACUAUAUAUUGUGAAGUGUGUUUGUGUGUGUGUAUCAGCGAGGGGCCCAUUUUAAAAUCUUGUCUUUGGGCCCCCUCCAACCUUGCUACGCCCCUGAUCCCUGCUCCAGACGUUGCUGAACUACAGUUCCCAUCAUUCCCUGUUACAAUUUAUUGUGGCUGGGUAUGAUGGGAGUUAGGAACAUAGGAACAUAGAAAGCUGCCUUCUACACACACUGCCAGCAGCUUCUCCAAGGUAACAGGCAGGAAUCUCUCUCAGUCCUAUCUUGGAGAUGCUGCCAGGGAGGGAACUUGGAACCUUCUGCCUGCGAGCAUGCAGGUGCUCUUCCCAGAGCAGCCCCAUCCCCUAAUGGGAAUAUCAUACCGUGCGCAUACAUGUCUCCCAUUCAAAUGCAAACCAGGGCAGAUCCUGCUUAGCAAAGGGAACAAUUCAUGCUUGCUACCACAAGACCAGAAGCCACCAAAUGGUGCAGCGGGGAAAUGACUUGCCUAGGGACCAAGAGGUUGCAUUUCCGAAUCCCCGCUGGUAUGUUUCUCAGGCUAUGGGAAACACCUAUAUCAGGCAUCAGCGAUGUAGGAACAUGUUGAAAGGCAUCAUCUCAUACUGCACAGGAGGAAGGCAAUGGUAAACCCCUCCUGUAUUCAACCAAAGAAAACCACAUGGUUCUGUGGUUGCCAGGAGUUGACCCUGACUUAACAGCACACCUUUACCUUUUACCUUUACCACAAGGCCAGCUCUCCUCCAAUAUCGGGAGGAGCUGUCAUUCAGCAACAGUUGGGGAACCACAGCUUUGGAACCCCUGCCUUAGAUCAUCCCACCCUCUCACUCACUGCACGAACCAAGCAGAAAGGGGUCAUUGUUGCAGACCCAAUAUGAUUUUCUUUCUUUUUCAUGUUACCCAAUUCGAUGAGCUGCAUUUGCCAGGUGGCAAAUUUAUGCUGGUGGAGAGGUUGGUGGUCUUUCACCAAGACUGCUCGUUUCCACCGCAGAUCCCUUUGGCUUUCUUUCCUGUAUAUAAUCCAUCACCAUGGAGCUCGAGAGCCAUUUGGAGGGAGCGAUAAUCUUCCGUAUCACUGACCCUGGAGAUCUUUUGCCGCAAAAAGAGGGAGAUCAAAGGAGAACCCAGAGAGAGACUUUUUAAUCCUUCUAACUGCAAAGCUCAGCCUAAUCUUAACAGUUGGGGGGGGGGCAUUAGUGCUCCUCAAAAUCUGAUUUUUAACUUUGUUUAACACUCAUCAUCCGUUCCAUCCUGCUGCAAUCAUGUGGGAAGCCCGGAGGAUGAUCCGGCCCUAAUCGGUUGGGAUGGCAGUUCUCCAUACAAAUCUACGUGGCUUCUGCCAAUCUGGAGGAGAGGAUGAGCAGAAAAAGAGUGGGAAGAGAAGCGUGAGUUUUCUGACUCCACGAAUUGAAAAUGCAUAAUUUUGGAAGCUGUUGCCCAUUCUGAGAACUCCCAUCUCUGGCCGGUCCUUUCUACUUCACAUCUUGGCAAUACUCUUUUCGGGAAAGGCUUUUCUGAUUUCCACCUCUCGCUUGUCUGAACUCUUCUCAGCAAAGACCAGCACCUCUAACUAGGUAUCACUCCAGGCGGGUGUGCACACUCCCAGUUCCCAACCUUUUGCUGACAUGUUCCUGGCUAACUAACUUGCAGCCGUUCGUCUUGAACUACCCUCUGCACCACGAAGAGAGACAAUUUGAUGCGGGGAUGCCAUUUUCAUUGGCAGCCCUGCGUCUGUCACAGCCUGCAGUUUUGCCCUCACAGUAUUCUGACCCAAAGGGCAAGUACCACCUCAGAAGAAACGUUUCCUCCUGGGCAUCAGAGCCCAGUGAAUUUGCAACUAUGUACAUUAAGAAUAAGAAAGAAUUGGGUUUAAAAACAAACAAACAAACAAACAAACAAACAAACCAAAUCCACUGUCAAGCAGUGGUCUGAUUCAGAAGAUCCUGAGGAGGAACUGCCUGACCCACAGUCCCGAUAUGGUCCAGCUACAGGACACUGAGGAGGGAGCCUCAUGGACAGACAGCUCUAUUAUAGAGAGUUAUAUCAUAGAGUUCUAUUAUAGAACAGCAGGAGGUUGCUGGGGAUCCAUUGCCCUCUUCAGACGGGGAGGAGGCCCGACUAAGCAGCAGAGCAGUGAGCCAUGUGGAACGCCAAAGAGAACGCAGAAAGUAGCAGUGUUUUGUUGGCUGCAAAGUCUGACCAGGGAGGCUUCAGAAUCUGUAACUCCAAAGGCAGGUGGGGCCUUGUUGGCUUCACCUGGCCAUUGACCUUGAAGAGAUAUGAAUUCAGACCGCUCACUCUGUACCUCGCUGGUUCCAACUGGCCGCUUUGGUGUGCAGUUCCAGCCCUUUGCUUUGUGCACCUUGUUCCUGGUUGCUCCUGUGUUCUUGACCUACUGGCUAUUGGCUUCUGACUCUCUUCG
Long non-coding RNA from Hemicordylus capensis (graceful crag lizard), 3571 nucleotides. RefSeq lists it as uncharacterized. The transcript is spliced from 4 exons. The record is from RefSeq and is a predicted model, not a curated record. Lineage: Eukaryota; Metazoa; Chordata; Lepidosauria; Squamata; Cordylidae.